UACGUAGGUGGCAAGCAUUGUCCGGAAUUACUGGGUGUAAAGGGAGCGCAGGCGGGAAGCCAAGUCAGCUGUGAAAACUACGGGCUUAACUUGUAGACUGCAGUUGAAACUGGUUUUCUUGAGUGAAGUAGAGGUUGGCGGAAUUCCGAGUGUAGCGGUGAAAUGCGUAGAUAUUCGGAGGAACACCGGUGGCGAAGGCGGCCAACUGGGCUUUAACUGACGCUGAGGCUCGAAAGUGUGGGGAGCAAACAGG
RNAcentral lists this ribosomal RNA (253 nucleotides) under uncultured bacterium. Its description in RNAcentral is "partial 16S ribosomal RNA". It matches the Rfam family "Bacterial small subunit ribosomal RNA", at positions 524 to 776 of the family's 1533-position model. The record is from RNAcentral.